This is a long non-coding RNA of Ipomoea nil (Japanese morning glory), 161 nucleotides long. RefSeq lists it as uncharacterized. NCBI's taxonomy places the organism in Eukaryota, Viridiplantae, Streptophyta, Magnoliopsida, Solanales, Convolvulaceae. The transcript has 2 exons. The record is from RefSeq and is a predicted model, not a curated record.
CAAAGUUACAUCAUAUUUCAUCCACGUCAUGGAGCAGCACAAAGAUAAAAACUUUAUUUUAGCACCAUAUCAUCAAGACUCUCAUUGGUUACUUUUGGUGAUUUGCAUACGGUUAAAAAGCAUAUGUAUCUUGGAUCCCUUGCCUUCUAAUCGCAACAUAG